This 835-nucleotide long non-coding RNA is filed under the name Citrus x clementina. RNAcentral's name for it is "Citrus clementina (C. clementina) long non-coding RNA (CCLE_LNC006854)". The record is from RNAcentral. Lineage: Eukaryota; Viridiplantae; Streptophyta; Magnoliopsida; Sapindales; Rutaceae.
UUGUAAUUAGACCGUCCUUACAUACAAAGAGUCACGCAGUUACUAAUUAGACUUGAUCAUUUGCACAUUUUCUUUACCUUUUAUUGCUAGUGCAUGGUAAGAACUAUGGUGCGUGUCAUUUUCAUUUAAUGCCACGACAAUAAUGAAAGGAUUAGAGGACUUCAGUAAACCACAUCAUUUGUGCACAGUUAUACGUCCAAUUAGCGUAAGCAUAUUCCAUAUAUAUUUCAUGUGCAUGGGUUGUCUGUCAUUCACAUUUUUGAUAUUAUUUCCAUAUAUAAUUAACCUCCAAUCAUUCUACUUUAAUUUCAUGAGGUAACUAAAGCACUCUCGCAAAAUCUUGUUGUGGGACAAUGUGUCAUCUCCUCACUUUUGUUUUGUCAAAAAAGUUCUAAAAAUGUGCUUGCACUUUACUUUCAUGCGAGUUGUCAUCGACUCUUUUAGGCAACUAGCUAGCUCAAUCUGUGAAGAAUAUUUGAGUUUCACGUUCCUCUUUUGACUUGAAUUUGUUUUGAGAUUUUAAAGUUUUUGUGUUAUAUGUGUAUCUAUAAAAAUGUUUGGUUAAAUUAUAAUUAUUUUUCAUAUUAUUAUUGGUUAAAGAUUGUAUUGUGAAUUUUUACCUAACUACCUAAACUUUUAGGUCGAUCACUUUUUAACACCAUAGUGGUACCAGUUAGGCUUGAGUUGUCCAUGCAUGAUUCAUAUUAAAACUAACAUAACAUAUGUCCAAACAGUGUGUCUUUACCUUGUUUUUUUAAUCAUCCACCUAUGUCAUUUUAUCUCGUUUGGGGGUGAUUUAAAAAUAAAUAAAAUAAAAAUCCAAAUAACAUUUAUA